UGCGAUCGUGGUCUAACGGUAUGAUCUCAGCCCUCCAAGCUGAAGGCCCGGGUUCGACUCCCGGCGAUCGCAU
This 73-nucleotide transfer RNA is filed under the name uncultured archaeon. RNAcentral's name for it is "tRNA-Gly(tcc)". It matches the Rfam family "tRNA". From Rfam's summary of the family: Transfer RNA (tRNA) molecules are approximately 80 nucleotides in length. Their secondary structure includes four short double-helical elements and three loops (D, anti-codon, and T loops). The record is from RNAcentral.